RNAcentral lists this long non-coding RNA (1047 nucleotides) under Felis catus (domestic cat). RNAcentral describes it as "lncRNA (ENSFCAG00000048185.1)". Lineage: Eukaryota; Metazoa; Chordata; Mammalia; Carnivora; Felidae. The record is from RNAcentral.
AGGCCCGGGGCUGCUAGCCCCGGGCCUCCAGGCCCGGGGCUGCUAGCCCCGGGCCUCCCAGGGGCUAUGCAGCGAGCACAAAAUCCCAAGGAAUUAUAUGCCUGAAUAUAUGCGAAAAUAUAUGCGAGACCCAGAAUCACAAACACCUGCUACAACCCCCGGCCUCUAGGUUCUGAGUCAUUACCAUGGCUCACCAUGGUUGAAGCCCCUCCCUGUACCUAGAGAAAGGGGUCACAGUACCCAAAACAGCCUCCAGACACUAGGGUCUCAGCUGAGAAACUCCCUGGAAAGGUCCGAUGGUUUGGAGACACAGAAUGGGAAGUGCCCCCCUCGCCCGGGCCUGCUAGCCCCGGGCCUCCUCGUCCGGGUCUGCUCGCCCGGGGCCUCCUCCCUGGGGCUGUUCGCCGGGGCUGCUCGCCAGGGGCCUCCAUGCCCGGGGCUGCUAGCCCCGGGCCUCCACGCCCGGGUCUGCUCGCCUGGGGCCUCCUGGCCAGGGGUUGCUCGCCUGGGGCCUCCUCACCCGAGGCCGAUCACCCGGGGCCUCCAUGCCCGGGACAGCUCGACCGGGGCCUCCUCGCCCGGGGCCUCCAGGCCCGGGGCGGCUCGCCCCGGGCUCCAGGCCCGGGGCGGCUCGCCCCGGGCUCCAGGCCCGGGGCUGCUCGCCAGGGCCUCCAGGCGCGGGGCUGCACGCCGGGGCCUCCAGUCCCGGGGCUGCUCGCCCUGGGCCUCCAGGCCCGGGGCUGCUCGCCCGGGGCCUCCUCGCCCGGGGCUGCUCGCCCGGGGCCUCCUCGCCCGGGGCCUCCAGGGCCGUGACUGCUCACCCGGGGCCUCCUCGCCUGAGGCUGCUCGCCCGGGGCCUCCAGCCCCAGGGCUGCUCGCCCUGGGGCCUCCUGGCCAGGGGCUGCUCGCCCGGGGCCUCCUGACCAGGGGCUGCUCGCCCGGGGCUGCUCGCCAGGGCCUCUUCGCCCGGGGCUGCUCGCCUGGGGCCUCCAGGCCCGGGGCUGCUCCCCCGGGGCUGCUCGCCAGAGGCCUCCAGAUGCGGGGCUG